Molecule: non-coding RNA, 94 nt
Filed under: Thalassiosira antarctica
Lineage: Eukaryota; Bacillariophyta; Thalassiosirophyceae; Thalassiosirales; Thalassiosiraceae
Source: RNAcentral
AUUAAUUUUAAAGAGGAAAGUCCGGACACCAAAGAGUAAUCAUAGUGGAUAACAUCCAUCCAGCGUAAGCUGAGGACAAGUGCAACAGAAAGCA